Non-coding RNA from Python bivittatus (Burmese python), 5145 nucleotides. The record is from RefSeq and is a predicted model, not a curated record. NCBI's taxonomy places the organism in Eukaryota, Metazoa, Chordata, Lepidosauria, Squamata, Pythonidae.
UCCAUUCUUCUCUGCUAACUUGCUCACUAUUGCCUCCUUCCCUGCUGGCUGAACUAGUGGUCCAUCUAUGACCUACUCCACUGCCUCUAUCAUCUUUGUUGCUAUGCUUCUUUAAAAAGAAAACUGGUAGAACAUGACAAUUGUGGAAGCAAUCACUGCUUUUGCGGACAAGGAGGACACUGUGGCCUACCACCACUCCAGCUCAUUUGUCGGCCACACCCAAAAGCAGAACCUAAUUGAUUCACUUGCCUGCCACUUAUAUUUCUAGGAUUUUCUUUUAAUGGUAUAUUCCUGCUGUAGCUGCCCUGACCAACUGGCCCAUAAAGAAGCACAUCAUCACUACUAAUAAACAAUGUUGAGUCAUCCUGGAUUCAGUGUACACAAACUGAAUCAAUCAAUCUGGAGACCUCCUGGAUAAAGGGUUAGACCAGCAUUCCCAUCCGGCCCAAAGUGCACCACUGCCUUUUAGUCCAUUUAUUUACUGCACUUAAUGUAUUUGUUAGGGCUGCAGUGCUUAUAUAGCACCUGUCAGCAACUCUUUAAAAUAGCUGGGUCUUUUCCAAGGAUCAUGCAGUUGCCCUCCUUGCUGCACCCAGAAAAGUUAUGCCUGGUUUAGUAGCUAGACGUAUUAAAUUGCUGACAGGUGCUACAUACACCCCCAUACACACUCUUGUCCUUUCAAAUCUGAAGUGCUGCAUUAACCCGAGCAUUUAUGUCUCCUGCUGAGUCAGUACCUCAAGGUUUUAGAAUAAUCACACAGACAACAAAGUAGCAAAUAGCUGCUCAAAUCAAAAUGGAAAGUUACUUUAAAACCCAACAUAACCAGCAAUUUCAGUAUUUUUUGUUCUUCAGGUUCAAGUACAAUAAGCAAAAUUGUGGAUAUGGAGGCGAAAAUGCUGACAUCAGAAUAUUCCACAAUUUCUAUCACAAUAGAAGGAUUCCUUCCCGGAACUGCUCUCUCUCUCUCUGGAGCUGUUCCACUGGCUGCAUUAGAGAAAAAGAUGGACCUGCAGAUGCAAUCCAGCAGCUCAACCGAAGCAUUGUGUGUUUGGCUUGAGACACUGGCUGCACUCCCCAACUCCACCUCAAUUGGUCACUACAAGAAUAACUGCAGACCUGCUAUCAGAAUGUCUUCCUCUCUUCCUUCCUCAUCCCCCUUUCCUUUCUUUUUGCAUUAUGUCCGUAAAAUUCUGUGUCUGUGGAUAGAGCAACAAUACUUGAAAUUCUGUGGGUAAUUAUUCUAUUUCUAUAGCUAUAUGUUGCUUCAUCUGUUGGAGGUGUGUUAGCGCUGAAGGCCCAGCUUAGGUGGCACCAUCUAGCCAAUCUUGGCUGAACUCAGAAAGCUAGCCAGGGUUAGUUGGUUAUCUUAAUAAGCAUUGGAUGCAAGACCCCCAGGAAAUUCCAGAGCUUUAGGUUAGAUUGGGAAGUCCAACAAACUGAAGGCAGCAGUGGGAAACCACUUCAUGGGCAUGUCUGUGAAGUUCAUCUUGAGGGAGAUUGCUCCUUGGUAGUACUGAGCAUGCCAGCUAUUCAGCUUUCACACUACAUCUUUCCUCAUUCCUCAUUCCCUAUUUGUACACAAACUGGAGUUUAGAACUUGAACCUGCUGCUGUUUUGGUCACACUUUACACACUGCUGGAACAAUGGCUUGCACAUGGAAAGCUGGAAUGCUGUAUGGAGCAUCACACAGAAAGGUGCAACUGCCAUGCCCAAUGUUCCAGUUUGAGAAGACAGCACUAUAUUAAGAUAGGAUCUGUGGGUGAAAAUGAGGUCUCCUGAUUCAAGCAAGAGUUUUCUAGAGCUCAAUCAGGAAGGGAGAACAGCUGCUGGCUCCUAAAAGUAAUCAAAUGCAAUUCUCCCUCCCCUGUGCACCUUACAUCUCUUAUCUCCUCCUCCCCCCUGUGGAGCUUGGUGCAUUUUCAUUAUGGAGAAGAUACUAAGGCCUUUUUCGCAAGUCUUUGCUCCUAAAUCAUGGACCCUAACCCUAACCUGAAAAGAUGGGAGUUAUGGGGGAUUGUCUGCAGGUCAUCCUGCAGCACCACCUUCCAUUCCAAAGCCCACCACCGCCUCCUAGAUGCCCUUUUACCCCUGCAUCCACCUCUUCCCUUUCUCCCCAUCAUGGUCGAUGCACACCUCCCUUGUCCCUCCUGGCCUCAUCCCAUUUUGCAGUGCUUCUCCCCAGCAGUGCACCAGCCCUCCAGAAUACGGAGGCGCCUUGCCCUGCAGCGCAUUCUCAUUGAUGUCCAACCGCCGAGGAAAUGGAGGUCACCCAGUUCCAAGCCUUCUCCUCCGUCCCCUUUCCAUAUAAAUUGUCCUCCCCUUCCAGGGUUGGUGCUGCAGUUCGGUGACGCUUUGUCUUCCUUUGCAAGCUAGCCAGACGUCCACAGGGAAGGAAAACACGGCUUCCGAGCGUGUGUUUGGCUUUAACGAUCCAAGGCCUCGAAUCUACCGGAGGAUCGCCGCAGCCUUGGCUAUGAAAUGCGAGGCAGAACCGCAGCUCAGCCCGCUUCCAGGACCAAGGCCGCGCCGUUCCAGGAAGUGUAGACUGGAGAUCAGGGGCAGGGGAGAGACACCUGAGCGCCGCCGGCCCCCCCUUCGCCCUCCUACGUGGAGGUUCGGAAGCGAAGCGACGGCAUGGCCAAGAAGGCCACCGGGUUGCUCCGCUCGGUAGCGCAGAUGUCUGGCUUCCGCGGAGGCCUCAUUUCACGCAGCUCCGUGGUCUCUCUCGAAAGGGGCGCACGCAGCUCUUCAGAGACACUGUGCGAGGCUGUGGCGGCACGACUGGGAGCCCCCCUUCGCAGCCGACUAGUCACGCAGCUGGCCGCUCCCCGCGCAAGAGGGACGCAGCCUCGCAACUCCCACGUGGCAAAGAGGGCGAAGGUCGCGUGCGCGUGUCCUGUUCUCCGGGCGUCAAAGCUGGGGCUGUGAAACUCUCGCUCUUGGAUUGUCCAGUACCAUAUAUUCUGGGGAUUUCUUAAAGGGAUACCAUUUGAUACUAUCAAAAUAUGCCUUAAGGUCUGGAGUAAGUGGAGAAGUCAUCAGUAAAAAUGUCCCAAACCUUCCAAGCUGUACAGACUAGAGUGUGUCCAGAAGUCCAGCCUGACUGGCAGUAAUCUAGGAUAAGUAUAUUUUACUGGGGAAUCCUUGGAAGAAUUACUAAAAUUGCUCCCUAACUCUGUAAGAUCUAUUAAUCAUACAAGCUUACUGUAAUUCCUUUGGUGAGAGAUACACUCAAAGACUGCAUCUUACCCAAAUGCAAUCACAAAAGUAUGCAAUCUAACACCUUCCUCAGUUUAUCUGCAGAAUUAAAACAAUGUUGUGAUGCAAUAUUUUAACAAUAGCUAGCUAACCUUGGCUGAUCCCCAAAAGUUAAGUAGAAUACACAAACUUAAAUGAGGUUGAAUGAAAAGUAUUACAUCCAUACAAAGCCAACAGAUAGCCGUUCUGACACACUAGAAACUCUGCCAUAUUCUUUAGCACCCGUUCUUUCAUUUCAUUAGUGGGAAGUUAUUAGAAAAGGUUGUGUUCCUACUAUUUGUAAAAUGGAAGCCUACAGUGAAUACUCCUCAGUGCACUUUACACAAUGCACCAUUAUUGAGUUUUUUAUUUCCAAUUUACCUCAGGGUAAAAUUCACUGCCAAAUGCAGGUUGUUUAUGGUGAUGACUGUGUUGACAUAAGUACUGUGCAUCACUGGCCAAAAAAUGUAAAGAUGGUCAACUGGGAAGUGCUGAUUUGGGUGAUCAAGAACCAAGGGGACUGCCUGUUAACAGCAACCAACGAGUUUCACGUCAGAAAGGUUGAUGGACCAAUUAAGGACAAGCAGUGAAUCACUCAAAAGGAAAUUGCUUUUAAGUUUUGCAUUUCACAGAAACAUGCUGGUCACAUUAUUAAUGUUCUUCAAUAUCAGAAAGUUUGUGUGAGAUGGGUCCCUUGCAUACUGACGACAGAGAUGAAAGAUUCAAGAGUUGAAAUUUGCCAGCAAUUGUUGCCACAUUAUGAGAAUGAAGGUGAGGAAUUUCUUCAUAGCAUUGUGAUGGAGGCAAUAUUUGACAUCAUCAUUAUGACCCAGAAACAAAACAUCAAUCCAUGGAAUAUCAUCAUAAAAUUUCAUUUAUGAAAAAAAAUUCAAAACCCAAGUUUCAGCAAGAAAACUCAUGGUUACAGGGUUUUUUUAAUGGAGAUGGUAUUAUUCACAUGGAUUUCCUUGAAUGUGGCACCAUUAGCAACUCAACAUUCAAAACCUUGAAACAACCAUUAAGCAGCAUUUGGAAACAACAAAGAAAUUUUGCUACAACAUGAUAAUGCUAGGUGUCACACCUCACAACCACCCAUGAGGCCAUUGCGAAGUUGGAUCUCACCAUCUUACCACAUCACCAUAUAGUCCAGAUAUGGCACCAUGCAAUUUCUUCCUUUUCCCCAAAUUGAAGGAAUACCUUUGUGGACAUCUGUUUAACUCAAAUAAAGAGUUGGAAAGGACUGUCAGGAUCCAGUUGAAGAGACAAACUGGAGUUUAAUGAUGGCUUUCAGAAGCUUGUCCAUCAUUAGCAGUAAUGUGUAGCAAAUGGUGGUUAUUACAUGGAAAGUACAUACAGGUAACAAAAGAGCUAUAUCAAGAAUUAUUUUCUUGUUUCAUUUAUUAAAAUAUCCCUACUUAAAGUUAUGGAGGUGGAGGCAUUACUUUUUUUUAACUCUUAUCUCCUAUAUAUUUUUAAAUAAUGGGGUUUGCUACUGAGCUUGCUCAGUUUUAAGUGCAUCCUUCAACAUGCUGCUCCUGCCCCAGCAUGGCCUUUGAUCCAAGAGACAAUGAACACCCUUGAUUUAAAUGGAAGUCCUAGCAAUUUCUGUUUAUUUAAAUAGAGUAAUACCACUUUGUUUUGGGAUAUAACAAAUUCUACCAGCAGAUGCCCAUAAGUAUUGAAAUCAUAAGAACCAUUAAACAUCAGAGUGUGAAAGGAAUCCACAUGUAGUAAAAAAGUUAGAAUGUGCCAAUCAUAGUAUAAUCAACAGGUUCAUAGCCUCACUCCCUGCUCUAUAUUUGGAGGUUUUUUAAAAGGGUUUUAUGAAAAAUUCUUUAAUUCUAUUCUUGUAGCUAACUAAGUCUAAAAAUUAUUUAAGAAAUAUUUUUUUAAAAUAGUAUCCUUAUA